GGAUUACUCAGGAACAGGUUAAAGUGGAUUACUCAGGAACAGGUUAAUGUUAGUGGAUUACUCAGGAACAGGUUAAAGUGGAUUACUCAGGAACAGGUUAAUGUGGAUUACUCAGGAACAGGUUAAUGUGGAUUACUCAGGAACAGGUUAAAGUGGAUUACUCAGGAACAGGUUAAUGUGGAUUACUCAGGAACAGGUUAAAGUGGAUUACUCAGGAACAGGUUAAUGUUAGUGGAUUACUCAGGAACAGGUUAAUGUUAGUGGAUUACUCAGGAACAGGUUAAUGUGGAUUACUCAGG
Long non-coding RNA from Oncorhynchus keta (chum salmon), 299 nucleotides. RefSeq lists it as uncharacterized. The transcript is spliced from 3 exons. NCBI's taxonomy places the organism in Eukaryota, Metazoa, Chordata, Actinopteri, Salmoniformes, Salmonidae. The record is from RefSeq and is a predicted model, not a curated record.